UACGGGGGGGGCAAGCGUUGUUCGGAAUUACUGGGCGUAAGGGGUUCGUAGGUGGCCUACUAAGUCAGACGUGAAAUCCCUCAGCUUAACUGGGGAACUGCGUCUGAUACUGGGGGGCUUGAGUGCAGGAGAGGAACGCGGAAUUCCAGGUGUAGCGGUGAAAUGCGUAGAUAUCUGGAGGAACACCGGUGGCGAAGGCGGCAUCCUGGACCAACACUGACGCUGAUGAGCGAAAGCCAGGGGAGCAAACGGG
Molecule: ribosomal RNA, 253 nt
Filed under: uncultured bacterium
Lineage: Bacteria
Description: partial 16S ribosomal RNA
Rfam family: Bacterial small subunit ribosomal RNA
Source: RNAcentral